This 465-nucleotide ribosomal RNA is filed under the name uncultured Actinomycetes bacterium. RNAcentral's name for it is "bacterial SSU rRNA". It matches the Rfam family "Bacterial small subunit ribosomal RNA", at positions 28 to 507 of the family's 1533-position model. Lineage: Bacteria; Bacillati; Actinomycetota; Actinomycetes. The record is from RNAcentral.
GAUGAACGCUGGCGGCGUGCUUAACACAUGCAAGUCGAACGAGGUCCAUGGAGCUUGCUCCGGAAGACCUAGUGGCGAACGGGUGCGUAACACGUGAGAAACCUGCCCCGAUCUCUGGGAUAACAGUUGGAAACGACUGCUAAUACCGGAUGCCGUCACACCGCUUCAUGGCGGAGUGCCGAAAGAUUUAUCGGAUCGGGAGGGUCUCGCGGCCUAUCAGCUAGUUGGAGAGGUAACGGCUCACCAAGGCAUCGACGGGUAGCUGGUCUGAGAGGAUGAUCAGCCACACUGGGACUGAGACACGGCCCAGACUCCUACGGGAGGCAGCAGUGGGGAAUCUUGCACAAUGGGCGAAAGCCUGAUGCAGCAACGCCGCGUGCGGGAAGAAGGCCCUAGGGUUGUAAACCGCUUUCAGUAGGGAAGAAAAUGACGGUACCUACAGAAGAAGGUGCGGCCAACUACGUG